AACUAAAACAAUUUUUGAAGAACAGUUUCUGUACUAUAU
This 39-nucleotide unclassified non-coding RNA is filed under the name Wallaceina raviniae. RNAcentral's name for it is "trans-spliced leader sequence SL". Lineage: Eukaryota; Euglenozoa; Kinetoplastea; Trypanosomatida; Trypanosomatidae. The record is from RNAcentral.